RNAcentral lists this long non-coding RNA (475 nucleotides) under Equus caballus (horse). RNAcentral's name for it is "lncRNA (ENSECAG00000044526.1)". The record is from RNAcentral. Lineage: Eukaryota; Metazoa; Chordata; Mammalia; Perissodactyla; Equidae.
CAACAUUUUGGAGAAUGGAAAAUGAAUAGAAGAGUGAAAGUUGACCUAGCAGAGCAGAAUGAGAUGGGUUCUACCUGCUGAGGUGGGUCUUAACCAAGAAGCAAACCAGUGUGCCUUUCUGGACCCAGAAAAGGCUCAGCAGAGGGGAUUUGCAAGUUCUCGAAAAAUUUAUUUCCUAUGCUUUCAAGGGACGCUACCAAAGAAUGUGCUUUACCAAGUAAGGAGUAAAGUCUCCAGGAAACAAGGAUCCAACAUGGAGAAGUAAAGGGAAUAAUUCGGAUGAUGCAGAGAAGUCCCAGAAAGACAGCCGUGCACAGGCUGAGACAGCCAGCGGUGCAGACCAGAGCAGCAGAAUGGAAGGCUCCAGGGGAGAAAAUGGAUGGGUUAUCUAAUACAUGUGAUUGAGUGAACAGAAUAUGUAUUAAUAAACUUAUGUGGAAAGACUUAAUAAUAAGUACACUAUGUAAAAACAGAC